UUCUCAGGCUGAUGGAGUGAGUGACAGAGUGGGUUGCCAACUCGAGUGACUCCACUCAGCGUACACAGUGGCUACGGGGGAUAGAUUCAGACAUGCCCAAAGAAGUCUGCCCAGGGGGAGACUCAUACCUUUGAGGU
Unclassified non-coding RNA from Vulpes vulpes (red fox), 137 nucleotides. The record is from Ensembl. Lineage: Eukaryota; Metazoa; Chordata; Mammalia; Carnivora; Canidae.